This 521-nucleotide long non-coding RNA is filed under the name Fukomys damarensis (Damara mole-rat). Its description in RNAcentral is "lncRNA (ENSFDAG00000023563.1)". Lineage: Eukaryota; Metazoa; Chordata; Mammalia; Rodentia; Bathyergidae. The record is from RNAcentral.
CUUGAAUUUUCAGGAACUCACAAACCAAUGACAUCCAGAUUCAUUUUGACAGAUGUUACUGUUAUGUCCACCUUGUGGAUGGGGAAACUGGCUCACGAGAUUGCACAGAUAAGCAGUGACAGAUGAGAAUCUGAAGCCAAGGUGUCUGGCUCCAAUAUCCUAGCUCUGAAGCCUAAGCUGUUCAAAAGCCCCUCUCCAGGAAGAUUUCCAAACCCAGGACCUCAUGCAUACUAUUGCUCGUUGGGGAGUGAAUAAAUUGUCAUGGAAACUGCUUUCUUGGAUGAGAACACCAAGAGCUAUGAGAACCCCCACUGUUGGAUCGGACUUCCGGCCCCACGGUCUCAUUCCCAGCUGGUGUCCACCUUCUCCAUCAUGUGUGCAGCUUCCCUUGCGAGGUGACCUCAUUCCCAACACAAAAGAUGCUUGAGGAUCGCUUCUGGGUGCAAGAAUCAAGAUUGAGGCUCAAAUAUUAAAAUGGCAAUUUUGAUGGUUGGUGGGGACAAGAUACCAGAAUAAAGCCA